CCAACGGCCCUCUUUAGGGCCACCAAAAUCAUAAACCAAAACUCAU
Non-coding RNA from Anisakis simplex (herring worm), 46 nucleotides. Lineage: Eukaryota; Metazoa; Nematoda; Chromadorea; Rhabditida; Anisakidae. The record is from Rfam.